RNAcentral lists this ribosomal RNA (328 nucleotides) under uncultured eukaryote. Its description in RNAcentral is "partial 18S ribosomal RNA". It matches the Rfam family "Eukaryotic small subunit ribosomal RNA", at positions 1470 to 1796 of the family's 1831-position model. The record is from RNAcentral.
CCCUUAGAUGUCCGGGGCUGCACGCGCGCUACACUGAAGGAAUCAGCGUGCUAAAACCAUUGUCGAAAGGCAUUGGUAAACUCAUUAAAAUCCUACGUGAUUGGGAUCGGGAAUUGCAAUUAUUUCCCUUGAACGAGGAAUUCCCAGUAAGUGUGGGUCAUAAGCUCGCGUUGAUUACGUCCCUGCCCUUUGUACACACCGCCCGUCGCUGCCCGGGACUGAGCCGUUUCGAGAAAAGCGGGGACUGCUGCUGUCGGGGCUUUCGGGCCUUGGCUUCGGUGGAAACCGCUUUAAUCGCAGUGGCUUGAACCGGGCAAAAGUCGUAACA